This 497-nucleotide ribosomal RNA is filed under the name uncultured bacterium. RNAcentral's name for it is "partial 16S ribosomal RNA". It matches the Rfam family "Bacterial small subunit ribosomal RNA", at positions 28 to 507 of the family's 1533-position model. The record is from RNAcentral.
GAUGAACGCUGGCGGCGUGCCUAAUACAUGCAAGUCGAGCGAACGGACGAUAAGCUUGCUUCUCUGAUGUUAGCGGCUGACGGGUGAGUAACACGUGGAUAACCUACCUAUAAGACUGGGAUAACUUCGGGAAACCGUAGCUAAUACCGGAUAAUAUUUUGAACCGCAUGGUUCAAAAGUGAAAGACGGUCUUGCUGUCACUUAUAGAUGGAUCCGCGCUGCAUUAGCUAGUUGGUAAGGUAACGGCUUACCAAGGCAACGAUGCAUAUCCGACCUGAGAGGGUGAUCGGCCAAACUGGAACUGAGACACGGUCCAGACAACUACGGGAGGCAGCAGUAGGGAAUCUUCCGCAAUGGGCGAAAGCCUGACGGAGCAACGCCGCGUGAGAGAUGAAGGACUUCGGAUCGUAAAACUCUGUUAUUAGGGAAGAACAUAUGUGUAAGUAACUGUGAACAUAUUGACGGUACCUAAUCAGAAAGCAACGGCUAACUACGUG